Molecule: long non-coding RNA, 606 nt
Organism: Teleopsis dalmanni
Lineage: Eukaryota; Metazoa; Arthropoda; Insecta; Diptera; Diopsidae
Exons: 3
Source: RefSeq, a predicted model, not a curated record
AUAUUUAUAAACACAAUAUAUAUACAUAUAUAAUCAUGAUGCCUCAAUUCUUCAUUACGAGGCUACAAUAUGAAAUUAUCCGUUUGCAAAGGAAAGGUAAACUCAAAUUAGUGAAUUCAGAAAAAACAUAUCUCCAUUUAUAAUUAAAAGGAUUUCCACAACCAAGACUUGAUUAUGAAACCCGCCAAUGAAAUAAUAUUUUAAAUACCAUAUAUCUUCUUUCACCAUGUAUUCUAGGACAUAUUGAAAACUAUACAUUUAAAAAAUUUCCAUAUGCAAAGGAAGUAUAUGGGAAGUUCCAUUUAUUACAGUCAUAAGCAAAACUGUUUGGUAUCUAAGUAUAAAAAUAUGAUUCAUUAUAAUAUAUUACAGAUUUCUAUUACUCGGAACUAAGUAUAAAUAUCAUCUAGUUUUUAGUUGUUUCAGCUGCAAAUCUUUAUGAAAUUAACUUUUAUACCAAAUCCAGAUGCCCUAAUUUAAUAUUUUUUACAAGUCAAAAAAUGAAGCAACACUAUUCGUAAGGAAAGGCCGUGAUUAAGGAUUUUGGAUAACAACAAUUGCAAUUUUAAUGCGUGUAAUGCAGUAUAUAUAUAUAUAUAUAUAUAU